This 274-nucleotide ribosomal RNA is filed under the name uncultured bacterium. RNAcentral's name for it is "partial 16S ribosomal RNA". It matches the Rfam family "Bacterial small subunit ribosomal RNA", at positions 523 to 796 of the family's 1533-position model. The record is from RNAcentral.
AUACGGAGGGGACAAGCGUUAUUCGGAAGCACUGGGCGUAAAGGACGCGUAGGCGGGUUAUUAAGUCGGGUGUGAAAUCCAAUGGCUCAACCAUUGAACUGCAUUCGAAACUGAUAACCUAGAGUAUGGAAGGGGCAGGUGGAAUUAGUGGUGUAGGGGUAAAAUCCGUAGAUAUCACUAGGAAUACCGAAAGCGAAGGCGACCUGCUGGGACAUUACUGACGCUGAGGCGUGAAAGCGUGGGGAGCAAACAGGAUUAGAAACCCCAGUAGUCC